CACCCAAGAAAGCAAAUCCUAGCCUCCACCAAUCUUGUCGCCGUGUGUCGGAGUGAGAGACUGCUGCUGCCGCUUCCGUCGCACUCAAGAACUUCCGCCUUGGUGCUAUCGUCGUUCGUUUCUUAGCUCUCACCAUCCCCUGUUCGCUCGCAUCAGUCACCUGUUCGCUCUCCAUCCCCUGUUCGCUGUCAUCAGUCGCCUGUUCGCCGUCGUCCGUUGUGCUCAACCGCUCUCCGUCGUCCGUUGCGCUCAACCGCUCUCCGUCGUCCGUCAAAGGUAACCUACUUUAAUUAGGUGUUGAAACUUCCAUCCAUGACCAGCACGUGUCAACAGGAUGAAUUGGUUGGAUGAAUUAAUGAAAAAUCAGACCAAUC
Molecule: long non-coding RNA, 374 nt
Organism: Arachis duranensis
Lineage: Eukaryota; Viridiplantae; Streptophyta; Magnoliopsida; Fabales; Fabaceae
Exons: 3
Source: RefSeq, a predicted model, not a curated record